Cyanistes caeruleus (blue tit) is the source of this 645-nucleotide long non-coding RNA. RefSeq lists it as uncharacterized. Lineage: Eukaryota; Metazoa; Chordata; Aves; Passeriformes; Paridae. The record is from RefSeq and is a predicted model, not a curated record.
UGUGGCUUUGAGAGCUUUGAACUCUGAGUAGAGGCGGGUUCCUAAAUUUAAGGUGGCAUCCCUGGGAGGCUUUGGAAAUCAUCCUGGGAAGGAAUCAGUUACAGGAGGCAAGUCAACAGAAGGCCAUUGAAAACUGAUAGAAGUUCUCUGGAGCCUGGUUUUGGCUGCUUAUGCAGUUUCUUCCCCUACCAUCUUUAAAAGCAUAAUGGAAGUGGGCAGGGGACCACCUGUAAAUCUCACUAUUUUGACCUAUUCCAACCCCCCGUGUCAAGAUAAGAUAAACUGUGCCCUGAACAUGCCUACUCCCCUCCUUGGAGCAUAAAAAGGAUCUGGAGAACAGCUUCAUCUGAGUUUCAUUCUUGAAACUGAGUGAAAGUAGAAGCAUUCUCUUGUCAAGGGACUCCAGCAUGUAACAUCUGGUGGGAGGAAUGAAGGACCACUGCAGAGUGUGGGGUGGAAAAGGAGCUGGCUAGAGAAGACAGCUGGCUAUGCUGAGGCUGUGCUGGAAGGGAAUUUCACUCCUGGAAUAUCUCAAGAAUAUUUAUAUGUUUAAUAAAUAGGUGGAUGCAAAAUAGAGCAGCAUCAGCUAUAAAAAGCAGGAUGGAAUUAUUCAGGAAGAGAUUAUGGCCUUUACAAAUAUAAUGG